ACCCACCAAAUCCCCUCCGCCCCCUUGUCCAACCCUUGCUCAUCGCCUCCUGGACCUCGGUCAAGUCCCGAUCUCCGUUUCCUGACCUUGAUUUUCUUCCUAUUGCUCAUGCUCUGUCCCGUGCAGAAAUUUUGGAGGGGGUCAUGGCCGCCCUCCCCCAGCUGCUGCUCUGCUGGUGACUGUGUGCUCGCCAGCACGGCCAAGGAGACGCCGACGACCACGCACCAGGAGUCGGCGACCUGGACAUGAUCGUCCAGGAGGAGGAGCUCGCACAACACCCGACCACCCACAGAAUAAGGGGAGAAGUGGAGCUGGAGCUGGUCAGGAGGUAGCGAUGGCUGCCAGAUCCGGCUGGAAGGAUGCGGUGGUCUUCUUUUUCGACUCCGUGGGUUUAGGAAAAUGAGGACUAAAUGAGAGACACGUGUCGCAGCUGGAACCUGUGGCUGCAGGCCAUCACUUGGAAGGAAGCUGCAAGACCCUGGGGACAAGCUUGGUCGGCUUCCUUUCUAGCGCCUUAAUGAACUGGUUAUGAUGCAUGCUAUGUUGUAUGUAACUUGCAUGUUGCUGUGCAUCAACUUUGCCCGGUAUUGUCCCCUGAUGCGGACAUUUUCGUUGAUUAUAUGUUUGUGUCACAUGGGCUGUGUCGUAUGCACCAUUGUCUUAAUUGAAGUAUGAUAUUUGCUGUGUAGGUUUGGAUGUCCAAAAAACAGGCAAGGUCUUGCCAAAAUUUUGAGCACUCCCUUGCUAAUUAAUUUCAACAUCCUUGCUACUUAGUAGCUUAAAGACUAGUUCUAUCUAUUAAAUAAAAUCCUGCUGAUCUUUGUAAACAAGUAGAAAGAAGUAAUUGUUGUCAAGUGCUAGAUAGGAAGCAGAAUCAAUCAUCGAUAAGGAUCUGUUGCCUUUCUUGGAAAUUGUUUUAGCUUUAUCAGUUCCUUGUGUAAAUUAGAAGUUUGGAAUUAGACCAGUUCCUGAUUCCUGUAACUUGAGCUCCAAAAUAAUUUGUCUUUUCGUUUUUGUAUUUCAGGGAUAAGUGGAGCUAGCCCAGAAGGUAGCCAUGGCCGCCGGAUCUGGCCGGCAGGCCGGUUCCUUCUUCUUCGAAUCCGUGGGUUUAGCAGGUAAAGAAAGAAGAGCAAGAAGGCUACAAAGAAGGACCUGCCCAGACCCUUUCACUUUCUGCAUGUAAUCUUCUUGGUGCUGUAGUCGGAAGCGCGAACAAGGCAUCCUGUCGUAUGUAGUGCCGCUUAUAUCUGUAGUACACCUUUUCGGUCCUUGUAAUAUUCGGUAGUACUUGAUGUUGUAAAAUCCAUUUUUGUAAUGAUCCAGGCUUUGGAAGUUGUAACAAUUUGGUAAAUGUGCACGUGUGUGAUGUUUGCUCCUAGCUCGCGUUUCUUUGGGUUAGACUUGUCAGCAAGGUUGGAUCGUGUGGCUGUACGAACAUUUAUUCUACUACUAUAUUGUUUGAUUUGUGGUC
Long non-coding RNA from Lolium rigidum, 1471 nucleotides. RefSeq lists it as uncharacterized. The transcript has 4 exons. NCBI's taxonomy places the organism in Eukaryota, Viridiplantae, Streptophyta, Magnoliopsida, Poales, Poaceae. The record is from RefSeq and is a predicted model, not a curated record.